Molecule: long non-coding RNA, 147 nt
Filed under: Mustela putorius furo (domestic ferret)
Lineage: Eukaryota; Metazoa; Chordata; Mammalia; Carnivora; Mustelidae
Description: lncRNA (ENSMPUG00000030723.1)
Source: RNAcentral
GCCAACCUUGUGAGGUAUGACCAUUUUACAGAUGAGGAAUCUGAGGCACAGAGUAAUCCAAGUUAAGCAACACAAGUGAAGCCCUACAGCUUUGAGCUGGAAGGAGGCUACUCCAAUUCUAUAAUAUCCUUCCUCAUGUGACUUGGC